RNAcentral lists this ribosomal RNA (429 nucleotides) under Nesolynx sp. RDB-1999. RNAcentral describes it as "eukaryotic LSU rRNA". Lineage: Eukaryota; Metazoa; Arthropoda; Insecta; Hymenoptera; Eulophidae. The record is from RNAcentral.
CCUGAGAAACCCAAAAGAUCGAAUGGGGAGAUUCAUCGUCAGCGCGGUUGGCUUCCGUGCGGCUCGCGAUGGCCGGGACUUCGGUCUCGCGUCACGCGGUCGCCGCGGCAUGUCCGACCGCGUCGGCGUGCACUUCUCCCCUAGUAGGACGUCGCGACCCGUUGGGUGUCGGAUCAAUGGCCGUUCGGUCGUCUGUUGCGCCUCGCGCGCGGCAGACCGUUCGGUUCAACGUCCGGCUGCCCGGCGGUAUAGAACGCUUAAUCACGGUAAUGGGCCGCAUCUUGAAUGCGUUUCAGGCUCGUCGGCAGGCUCGUCUCGCCCGGAUUUACGGACCUAGCGCCGUUGCCGGGCGCUUGGCGCGGCCGUUAGUCGACGAUGUCCUCGGACUGGCUCUUACCGGUCUGCGACGCUACUGCUUUGGGUACUUUC